RNAcentral lists this ribosomal RNA (427 nucleotides) under uncultured prokaryote. RNAcentral describes it as "bacterial SSU rRNA". It matches the Rfam family "Bacterial small subunit ribosomal RNA", at positions 355 to 774 of the family's 1533-position model. The record is from RNAcentral.
UGGGGAAUCUUCCGCAAUGGACGAAAGUCUGACGGAGCAACGCCGCGUGAGUGAUGAAGGUUUUCGGACUGUAAAACUCUGUUGUCAGGGAUGAAGGUGCGAUCUGCGAAUAGUUGAUCGUAUUGACGGUACCUGACGAGGAAGCCACGGCUAACUACGUGCCAGCAGCCGCGGUAAUACGUAGGUGGCAAGCGUUGUCCGGAAUUAUUGGGCGUAAAGAGCAUGUAGGUGGGCUUUUAAGUCCGAUGUGAAAAUGCGGGGCUCAACCCCGUAUGGCAUUGGAUACUGGAAGUCUUGAGUGCAGGAGAGGAAAGGGGAAUUCCCAGUGUAGCGGUGAAAUGCGUAGAUAUUGGGAGGAACACCAGUGGCGAAGGCGCCUUUCUGGACUGUGUCUGACACUGAGAUGCGAAAGCUAGGGUAGCAAACG